GCUGCAUGUGAAUGCCUGUAAUCCUUGCUGUUAAGGGGAGGCUGAAGCUGGCAGAUCUCUUGAGCUCCAGAGUUCCAAGCUACAGUGAGCUAAGCUGAUCAAUGUCCACACUGAGUUUGACAUUAAUAUGAUAAGCCCUGGAGAUCAGGGGGCUAACAGGUUGCUGAAAGAGGGGAAAAGCAGCCCAAGUUGGAUAUGGAGCAAGUCAAAACUCCUGUGACUACUAGAGUGGGAUUGGGUCUGUGAGUAGCUCCUGUACUUCCAGUCUGGGCAAGAUAGGGAGACUUAA
This 289-nucleotide signal recognition particle RNA is filed under the name Phascolarctos cinereus (koala). Its description in RNAcentral is "Metazoan signal recognition particle RNA (ENSPCIG00000000655.2)". It matches the Rfam family "Metazoan signal recognition particle RNA". Rfam says of the family: The signal recognition particle (SRP) is a universally conserved ribonucleoprotein. The record is from RNAcentral. Lineage: Eukaryota; Metazoa; Chordata; Mammalia; Diprotodontia; Phascolarctidae.